This 253-nucleotide ribosomal RNA is filed under the name uncultured bacterium. RNAcentral's name for it is "partial 16S ribosomal RNA". It matches the Rfam family "Bacterial small subunit ribosomal RNA", at positions 524 to 776 of the family's 1533-position model. The record is from RNAcentral.
AACGGAGGGUGCAAACGUUGCUCGGAAUCAUUGGGCGUAAAGCGCGCGUAGGCGGUUCGGCAAGUCGGGUGUGAAAGCCCUCGGCUCAACCGAGGAAGUGCAUUCGAAACUGCCGGACUUGAGUACUGGAGAGGGUGACGGAAUUCCCGGUGUAGAGGUGAAAUUCGUAGAUAUCGGGAGGAACACCAGUGGCGAAGGCGGUCACCUGGACAGAUACUGACGCUGAGGCGCGAAAGCGUGGGGAGCAAACAGG